Sander lucioperca (pikeperch) is the source of this 578-nucleotide long non-coding RNA. RefSeq lists it as uncharacterized. The record is from RefSeq and is a predicted model, not a curated record. The transcript has 3 exons. Lineage: Eukaryota; Metazoa; Chordata; Actinopteri; Perciformes; Percidae.
UUAGGUCAAGUUAAAUCUGCUGUGAUGGCAGUUCCUGUUACAGCCUCUGACCACCAGGGUGAGCUUUUUCAGCCAAUAGUUGAGUUUGGUUCUGAGUCUUCCCAAUGUGAUUUUUCAGCCUUUAUUUCAGAUGGUGUAGUGUCUUUGGUAGAUGGCAACCAAAAUGUUCCAAUUAAGAUCUUAAGAGACACUGGAGCUUUAGAUUCUUUUCUGGUGGAAUCUGUUUUGCCGUUCUCUAAGGAGUCUGAUACUGGCAGUUGUGUAUUGAUACGUGGCAUGGGAUUAGUUCCAUUCGUCUCUCCUUUACAUGACGUUACCCUUAAAUGUGGUCUGGUAGAGGGUGAUGUAGCUGUUGGGGUUAGACCCCAGUUGCCAGUAGAGGAAGUCCACAUGAUUUUGGGGAAUGACUUGGCAGGUAGUAAGGUGUGGGCAGAUGGCAGAAUAAACAUCUUUAAGAAGCAAGCUUCAGUACCCCCUGUAAAGGUAUCUCCAGAUUGCAAUUGUGUGUCUCCGGAGGUAUUUCCGGGUUGUGCUGUUACCCGCUCUGCUUCACGCAAGGAGAAUAUGGAGAAAAUGUU